Molecule: ribosomal RNA, 253 nt
Filed under: uncultured bacterium
Lineage: Bacteria
Description: partial 16S ribosomal RNA
Rfam family: Bacterial small subunit ribosomal RNA
Source: RNAcentral
CACGUAGGGUGCGAGCGUUGUCCGGAAUUAUUGGGCGUAAAGGGCUCGUAGGCGGUUUGUCACGUCGGGAGUGAAAACUCGGGGCUUAACCCCGGGCCUGCAGUGGGUACGGGCAGACUAGAGUGCGGUAGGGGAGACUGGAAUUCCUGGUGUAGCGGUGAAAUGCGCAGAUAUCAGGAGGAACACCGGUGGCGAAGGCGGGUCUCUGGGCCGUAACUGACGCUGAGGAGCGAAAGCAUGGGGAGCGAACAGG